AUUGCAUCAACAAGUCAGGACAAUCUUGGGACAGAAAUACAAGCGAUUUCCUUUAAUAAGAAAGUACAGCAAUGGCCCAGUUUCUUCCCAGCUCUCGGUGCACAUUACCGAGAUGGCACCAGGAGGCAAGCUGCACUAUCACUGAGGCGUUGCUCUGAGGGGAAGGAGAGAGGGAACUUGAAGAAUCAGCCAAUUUGCAGAUAAAGAGCAGGACGAGACCCGUCUCCCGGACCAGAAUAGUAAGUGGAAAGAAGAGGAAUACUCAAAGCUGAUUUCAAAAGGUCAGAUUCAAAGCACCCUCAAGUAUUCACGGCCUUCAUUCCUAAGAUACUGUCUCAGUUCCAGAGGUCAUCUAGCCUUGCUUUAAAUAAGCCAUAUGAUGACUCUGUGUCAUCAGAGUGUAAAGGAAAGGUCACAUGGGCUUUGAGGCAAACAGGACUGGGUUUGAAUCAAACUCCACCAUCUAAUUGCCGAGCAACUUGGGCAAGUUCGUCGUUCAUUUGUUCAUUCCCUCACUCAGCAGAAACGUCUCGAGCACCUGCUGGGUCCCAGAUGUUGUGCCUGGCACUAAGAAUCCAUGGUGAGCAAGACAUUGUUUUUGUCUUUCAGGAGUUUAUAGUCUAGUGGGGGACAGUGCUAUGCUGUGCUAAGGUUAAAAGCAGAGUAAGUGGGAGCAUGUAGGAAAGAGGUCAGAGAAUCAGAGAACCAGUGGGUGUCAGCCAAUGAUGUGAGGGUGGGGUAAAUAGGGGACCCACAUUUGUGGGGAAGAGGCUUCCAGACAGAAGGAACAGCUUCCAAAGGUUUGGAGCAGGAAAUAACAAGCAGACUCCUGGAAUUAAAACUGUCAAGUGUAGGGGCGCCUGGGUAGCUCAAUCGGUUAAGCAUCCAACUUUGGCUCAGGUCAUGAUCUCACCGUUCAUGAGUUUGAGCCCCGCAUCGGGCUCUGUGCUGACAGCUCAGAGCCUGGAGCCUGCUUCCGAUUCUGUGCCUCCCUCUCUCUCUCUGCUCCUUCCCCGCUUGCACUCUCUCUGUCUCUUAAAAAUAAACAAACCUUUAAAAAAAUAAAAAAAAAUUUUAAAAAUGAAAAAACUCGUCAAGUGUAGCUGUGUGCCAGGACAGGAGUGACAGGGUGAUACUGAGGAAGUAGCAGGAGGCAGAUCUCGAAGGGACAUCCAAGGCAAAUUCAAGACAAGCCAGGAACUGUAGAACUUCAAGCUAGGCAUCAGGAUCAGAUGGCUGAGAAAGCCCCCUGACUGCAGUGCAGAAUGGAUUCGAGGGGGUGAUGGGUCAGGAAGUGGUUGUCACGUGCUUUGGAGCCGUGCGAUGGCCGGGGCUGGUGAGUCACGGGUGGUGCUGAGAGCUCUUUCACAGCCGAAUGACUGGACUUGGUGAUUAUCAGAUAUGGUAGGUAAAGGGAGGAGGGACCCCGGGGUGAUUCCCAUUCACCAGAGAUAGGCACUGUCACAGGGGGUGGCACAGGGGAAGAUGGGGAAUUUGUGCUGAGUUUCAGGCUGAAGACUUUCCGUGGGCAAUUGUGUGAAUGUGCUGGGGACUUGGAAGGGUGACAGGACUGACACAUGGAGGAUUGUUGAAAGCACAUGAGCAGAGGUGAUCUCCAGGAAGAGCACUUUACUCAGUGAAGAGAAAAAGUGCCUUCAUCAGGGGCACCUAGUGGCUCAGUCGGUUGAGCGUCCGACUUCGGGUUCAGGUCAUGAUCUCGCGGUUUGUGAGUUUGAGCCCCGCGUCGGGCUCUGUGCUGACAGCUCAGAUCAGAGCCUGGAUGGAGCCUGCUUUGGAUUCUGUGUCUCUGUCUCUCUCUGCCCCUCCCCUACUUGUGCUCUGUCUCUCCCUCUCUUAAAAAUAAACAUUAAAAGGGGCGCCUGGGUGGCGCAGUCGGUUAAGCGUCCGACUUCAGCCAGGUCACGAUCUCGCGGUCCGUGAGUUCGAGCCCCGCGUCAGGCUCUGGGCUGAUGGCUCAGAGCCUGGAGCCUGUUUCAGAUUCUGUGUCUCCCUCUCUCUCUGCCCCUCCCCCGUUCAUGCUCUGUCUCUCCCUCUCUUAAAAAUAAACAUUAAAAGGGGCGCCUGGGUGGCGCAGUCGGUUAAGCGUCCGACUUCAGCCAGGUCACGAUCUCGCGGUCCGUGAGUUCGAGCCCCGCGUCAGGCUCUGGGCUGAUGGCUCAGAGCCUGGAGCCUGUUUCAGAUUCUGUGUCUCCCUCUCUCUCUGCCCCUCCCCCGUUCAUGCUCUGUCUCUCUCUGUCCCAAAAAUAAAUAAACGUUGAAAAAAACAUUUUAAUAAAAAAAAAAAUAAACAUUAAAAAAAAAGUGACCUCAUCGGUGAGAUGGCUAAGGUCUGAGAUGCAAGAAAUAAGCAAGAUAUCACAUGUAGCAUGUCUAGGAGGGUGCCUGGGACAAGGUAUGGUGGCCGUUGAUGGCAGGCCCCUCUCUUCAUCUCCCUGCGGUGCUGUGGGGCAGACUUGUCCCACAUCAGUGCCGUUUUCACACUCUUACCUGCUCUCAUCCUUCUUAACUGCCUCUCUCUUUGAUUUAAUACGAGCUAUGAAAACCCAAGCCUGCCCUCCCCGCCCCCUCAUCUAUGUCCCAGAAAAUGAAAAUGGGCCGCUUAAUACGCAAGCCCCGACCUACAUCUUACAGUGUUCAGACUGUUCCCAGCCAAGCAGGAUUUGAGUCAGAGACUGAGACUUGUGCCACUCAGGACGGAUCUUAAAGCCAUGGUUUGCUUCAUGAUACAUAGGAGAGAAAUCUGGUCAGGAAACUCCAGAAAAUCAUUUCUCGGCCAUCUGUCUUCCCCUGACUGGCAGCCAGAGACCGCUCACCAAGUCGUGUAUGGGAGCUCGGCAGCUCAGUUGGAAAGGAACCCGAGCCAAGGUGCCAGGGUGCGUGUGCUGUGGCUUUGGUGAUGGCAGCCGGCUGACAGGCUACCCCCGGGUUCAGCAGGACCAGAUUAUCCAAGGACAGGAGAGCUAGCUGCCUAAGACUUCCCAGAUAGUUCGUUAUCGGAAUGAACUUUCCAUCUGAUGGAAUGUUGGUCGUGCUGUACUGACAGCCAAGCCCUGACUCCGCUGGUUCUUCCUUUUCAACUUAGUCCUGCUUUGAAAGGAAAUGUGAACCAAACAGACUCUUCCCCAGUGCUGGAGGAGCCCCAGAGAGAUGACCCUCCCCCUCCCGCCUUGCCCAGUUGCCCCCAGGGCCUCAAAGCAGGAGUUAACUACUCUUCCCGGGAGUCUAUUGAAAGUGAGCUGACUCAAUGGAAAGCUUGAAUCAAUGAACUGUGCUUUCAAGUGAGUAAAAGGAAAGAAAAGAACAGACAGGUGGUGCUCUCCAGGAGAGGCAAAAUGUUUGUAUUUAUAAGAAAAAAAGCCUUCCUGACUUCUUCCUUACCAUUCUCCCCACCACACCAUCCAGGCUGCAUCAUUGCAGAUUCUAUUCUUGGCAUAGCACAAGCCUUCGAUUUAGAACAACAUGGAGAAAGGCAGGCGUCCUCCAUUUAUCCAACCAGACCAUUUGUCAUUAUGUGCAUCAAGGGGCAAUUUUGGCUGAGGCAGAACCCAGCUAUUGGGUUGUCAUCCCUCUCCAUCUAUUUGUGUCCAUUCAUAUUCAUGGGGCUCGUAUUUUGUAAUUGGAGGAGGAAGAGAGCAGGGGUUUCAUGAAUCUGUCUUCCACCUGCCCCUCUUGGCCUGGGUUUGAUCUCUAGAGGGAUAAGAAUCUGAAACUGACGGAAUUAUUUUCAUGGAAGAUUCUGCUCGAUUCUGGGCACAAGCUGGGAUGCGCAGGACCCAGGUGACAAAGUGUGGUCUGGGAGUGGGGAGAGGCUCCCCCCUCUGCCCAGAUCACAUUGCCAUGCUGAGGACUGGUGGCCUUGUUAGGCUUCUUCCAGUGGGUGAGUGACAGCUGGCAGAAGAGAUCACAUAGGGCAGUCCUGAGUGAUUGCUGCAGUCGGAAGCCUGGCCUGUCAUCUCCUUGAGGCUCUCCUGCAGGGGUUCCUAGAAUUUACCGGGGGCCUCCGGAAAAGGGCUAGAUUGUGCGUGGGCAAGAAAGGGAUUGCUCAGGAUCACUGCAUUUGGGGUAUAGACAUAAAUAUGACCCUGUGUUAUAGUCCUAAACCUGGAGACUGUGGGUCACUGGGGAGCAUUUGUGAAGGCAGAACAUCAACGUUACUCUUUCUGGCCACUUCUCUGUCUCCAACUGAACUCAGCCUUGACUGUCCAGGACCUCCUCUGGAAGAGCAGGUGGUAUUUCCCCCAGCCACUCAGAGGAGGGAUUCUUAGCCAAGAAGAGGACCCAGAACCCCUGCUACCUCUAGGGGAGGUCUGAGGAUGUGGGGUGAGCAGCAGAGAGGCUGGUGCUAGGAGUGGUGUCAGUCUGGAGCAGAUGGAAAAGAGGAGGGAAGUAUACAAUGGUCUCAGGUGGUUACGUUGAACCACACUGUCGGCCCUGACAGAAUCCUAUUUGCUUUACAGCGGGGCUAAUUGACAAGGACAAAUGUGUGAGCUUCCAAGGAGAACUCAGCAGAACCAGAAAUUCUACCUCUAGGAAGUGUUUCUUUUAUUCCAGAAUUUCAAUCCUGUGGGAGUCAAUACAACAGGUCUAGCUUAGGGACCAAAACAUUCUAAGAAGAAGAAAAAAAAAAAAACAAAAACACAAGACCUAAGAUCAACAAGACCAAACCCAAGACCAAGAUACCCUGAGGCCCCUUUAAUAGUAAUUCCCUGUAUGUGGUCCAGAUGCCAACCUGUAUGAUGAGAAGUUCUUGGGGUACUGGUUAACAAUGAAAUUCCUUGGUCCCACCCAAGCCCCACCUCCCUUGGGGAGGGCCUGGUAAUCUACUUUUAUGACAAGAACCCAGAAAAUUGCUGUGCACACUAAAAUUUAACAAAACCUUGUCUAUACCUCAGGGUGCCUGGUGGCUCAGUCGGUUGAGCAUCUGACUUCGGCUCAGGUCAUGAUCUCAUGGCUUGUGGGUUCCAGCCCCAUGUCGGGCUCUGCGCUGACAGCUCGGAGCCUGAAACCUGCUUUGGAUUCUGUGUCUCCCUUUCUCUCUUCCCCUCUUCCGCUCACACUCUGUCUUUUUUUUCUGUCUCUCAAAAAUAAAAAUAAAUAUUAAAAAAAUUAAAAAAAAUUUUUUUUAAUGUUUAUUUAUUUCUGAGACAGAGAGAGACAAAGCAUGAGUGGGGGAGGGGCAGAGAGAGAGGGAGACACAGAAUCCGAAGCAGGCUCCAGGCUCCGAGCUGUAAGCACAGAGCCCGACGCAGAACUCGAACCCACGAACCGUGAGAUCAUGACCUGAGCCGAAGUCAGUCGCUCAACCGACUGAGCCACCCAGGCGCCCCCAAAAAUUUUUUUUAAAGAAAACUCUGUCUAUAUCUAUGCUGUUCAAUACAGUAGCCACUAACCGCUUGUGACUAUUUAUAUUAAUUAAAAUGAAAUAAAAUGUAAAAAUUCACUUUCUCAAUUAUGCUAGCCAUAUUUCAAGUGCCCAAUGGUCUCAUGUGGCUAGUGGCUACUGUAUUGGACAGUGCAGAGCAUUUCCACCAUCAUGAAGAAUUCUAUUGGACAGAGCUGGCUGUAAGGAACCCUGUAAAUGUGAUGUAGAAGAUUACAAAUAUUUUUGUACUGAUAGGUGAACUUUAAUCAAUUUUUCUACAGAAACAUUUGCUCCUAAAGAGUGAGCUCUGCAUUGGUUGGCAUUGAUCUGUGAGGUCCAUGGCUGUCUCUGUGGGUCACAUCUUUCCUGCCUUUUGGUUGGGCCAUACAGAGCCUCUACAGGAAUUAGGGGAGUAGAGCCAAAUACGGCGGCCUGAUACACCUCUAGAUAGGUAUGCUCUCAUGACCACCCCUCAGUGGGGCAGUGGAGUCUUUGUGCAAAGCAGAAGUCUCUCAGUGCUCUGGGCUGAUGCAAACCUGGGCCUGCACAGUGCAUAACAUAUAAAACCUUACGCAGUGGCCCUGAGUGGGGAGUAGAUUUAGCUGAGGUUGCAGAUGCCUUUGUCCAGAAAAGACAAAGCUUUAGCGUCCUAUUUUUCUAUAUGAAACUUAUUGCCAAAUUGGUUUCCAUACAACACCCAGUGCUCAUCCCAACAGGUGCCCUCUGCAAUGUUUAGGGUCCUAUUUUAAAGCACUUGCUAAGGCUGGGCCCCAUGCUGGUUCAGGGGACCCAAGAGCCCCUGACAGGAGGUCGGUGCCUUCAAGUUGUUCACAGUUGGGCUGGGAAGGGGCGCUAAAGAGAACAUCCAAUGCAGUGUGGGAAGUGCAGUGGUGAGGGAUGGCUUUCCUACAGGGAAGUUAACCUGCGGGAAGGGCAGGGACAUCUUCCUGGAUGCCUGAGACCAUACGGAAGGAAGACCAGGAGGCAGCCAAGUGACCAGGGCUGAGAAAGGCCAUGUGACAGAAGGGCAGCAGGACUGAAGGUAAGGGGAGACGCGGCGUGGUGUUUGGGGAGCCA
Molecule: long non-coding RNA, 6460 nt
Filed under: Lynx pardinus (Iberian lynx)
Lineage: Eukaryota; Metazoa; Chordata; Mammalia; Carnivora; Felidae
Rfam family: tRNA (bases 4917-5000)
Source: RNAcentral